CGGAGGGUGCAAGCGUUAUCCGGAUUCACUGGGUUUAAAGGGUGCGUAGGUGGGUUGGUAAGUCAGUGGUGAAAUCUCCGAGCUUAACUUGGAAACUGCCAUUGAUACUAUCAGUCUUGAAUGUUGUGGAGGUUAGCGGAAUAUGUCAUGUAGCGGUGAAAUGCUUAGAUAUGACAUAGAACACCAAUUGCGAAGGCAGCUGGCUACGCAUAUAUUGACACUGAGGCACGAAAGCGUGGGGAUCAAACAGGAUUAGAUACCCUGGUAGUCCACGCCCUAAACUAUGGAUACUCGACAUACGCGAUACACUGUGUGUGUCUGAGCGAAAGCAUUAAGUAUCCCACCUGGGAAGUACGAUCGCAAGAUUG
Molecule: ribosomal RNA, 368 nt
Filed under: uncultured organism
Description: bacterial SSU rRNA
Rfam family: Bacterial small subunit ribosomal RNA
Source: RNAcentral